GGAUGGAUAAGUCAGAUGUGAAAUUCCGAAACUCAAUUUCGGGACUGCAUUUGAAACUGUGUAUCUGGAGGAUUGACGGAGAAAACGGAAUUCCACGUGUAGCGGUGAAAUGCGUAGAUAUGUGGAAGAACACCUGUGGCGAAAGCGGUUUUCUAUUUUAUACCUGACGCUGAGGCGCGAGAGCAAGGGGAGCAAACAGGAUUAGAUACCCUGGUAGUCCUUGCCGUAAACGAUGUAUACUUGAUGUAGUGAGGCUCAACCCUGACUGUGUCGAAGCUAACGCGAGAAGUAUACCGCCUGAGGAGUACGCUCGCAAGGGUGAAACUCAAAAGGAAUUGACGGGGGCCCGCACAAGCAGUGGAGCAUGUGGUUUAAUUCGAUGCUACGCGAAGAACCUUACCCAGGCUCGAAAUGUAAUGGACGAUACCAGAGAUGGUAUUUUCCGAAAGGACCGUUAUAUAGGUGCUGCAUGGCUGUCGUCAGCUCGUGCCGUGAGGUGUUGGGUUAAGUCCCGCAACGAGCGCAACCCUUAUCAUUAGUUGCCAACACGAGAGGUGGGGACUCUAAUGAGACUGCCUAGGUUAACUAGGAGGAAGGUGAGGAUGACGUCAAGUCCGCAUGGCCUUUAUGUCUGGGGCUACACACGUGCUACAAUGGUCGGUACAGAAGGCAGCAAGACCGCAAGGUGGAGCAAAUCCGUAAAGCCGAUCACAGUUCAGAUUGUAGUCUGCAACUCGACUACAUGAAGUUGGAAUUGCUAGUAAU
Molecule: ribosomal RNA, 765 nt
Filed under: uncultured Chlamydiae bacterium
Lineage: Bacteria; Pseudomonadati; Chlamydiota; Chlamydiia
Description: bacterial SSU rRNA
Rfam family: Bacterial small subunit ribosomal RNA
Source: RNAcentral